RNAcentral lists this ribosomal RNA (396 nucleotides) under uncultured bacterium. RNAcentral describes it as "partial 16S ribosomal RNA". It matches the Rfam family "Bacterial small subunit ribosomal RNA", at positions 523 to 918 of the family's 1533-position model. The record is from RNAcentral.
AUACAGAGGGUGCAAGCGUUAAUCGGAUUUACUGGGCGUAAAGCGCGCGUAGGUGGCUAAUUAAGUCAAAUGUGAAAUCCCCGAGCUUAACUUGGGAAUUGCAUUCGAUACUGGUUAGCUAGAGUAUGGGAGAGGAUGGUAGAAUUCCAGGUGUAGCGGUGAAAUGCGUAGAGAUCUGGAGGAAUACCGAUGGCGAAGGCAGCCAUCUGGCCUAAUACUGACACUGAGGUGCGAAAGCAUGGGGAGCAAACAGGAUUAGAUACCCUGGUUGUCCAUGCCGUAAACGAUGUCUACUAGCCGUUGGGGCCCUUGAGGCUUUAGUGGCGCAGCUAACGCGAUAAGUAGACCGCCUGGGGAGUACGGUCGCAAGACUAAAACUCAAAUGAAUUGACGGGG